GAUGAACGCUGGCGGCGUGCCUAAUACAUGCAAGUCGAGCGAACGGACGAGAAGCUUGCUUCUCUGAUGUUAGCGGCGGACGGGUGGGUAACACGUGGAUAACCUACCUAUAAGACUGGGAUAACUUCGGGAAACCGGAGCUAAUACCGGAUGAUAUUUUGAACCGCAUGGUUCAAAAGUGAAAGACGGUCUUGCUGUCACUUAUAGAUGGAUCCGCGCUGCAUUAGCUAGUUGGUAAGGUAACGGCUUACCAAGGCAACGAUGCAUUGCCGACCUGAGAGGGUGAUCGGCCACACUGGAACUGAGACACGGUCCAGACUCCUACGGGAGGCAGCAGUAGGGAAUCUUCCGCAAUGGGCGAAAGCCUGACGGAGCAACGCCGCGUGAGUGAUGAAGGUCUUCGGAUCGUAAAACUCUGUUAUUAGGGAAGAACAUAUGUGUAAGUAACUGUGCACAUCUUGACGGUACCUAAUCAGAAAGCCACGGCUAACUACGUG
Molecule: ribosomal RNA, 497 nt
Filed under: uncultured bacterium
Lineage: Bacteria
Description: partial 16S ribosomal RNA
Rfam family: Bacterial small subunit ribosomal RNA
Source: RNAcentral